GUCGGUUUCUGGAGUCUGCGGGUGGGUGUUUAGAUAGCGCCAUCCGUUGCGGCGUUUAGAGUCCACCAACAGGUGAUGUCCUAGGGCACUUGUCUUUGCCUUUCUGGCUUCCUUCGCUUAGUAUGAGGGUCUCUCGUUCCAGCCCCGCGGCGGCAGAUGGCACUCGUUCUGCCGCUUUUUCCUGGCUGUGUGCGAUGCCAUCGCAUAGAUGUCCCCGGGCCUUCGAAGUGCACUCACCUGUCAGUGGACCUUUAGGUGGCUUCCAGAUCUUGGCUCUGCCCCGCGGCGGCAGAUGGCACUCGUUCUGCCGCUUUUUCCUGGCUGUGUGCGAUGCCAUCGCAUGGAUGUCCCCGGGCCUUCGAAGUGCACUCACCUGUCAGUGGACCUUUAGGUGGCUUCCAGAUCUUGGCUCUGGUGAGUA
RNAcentral lists this long non-coding RNA (421 nucleotides) under Sus scrofa (pig). Its description in RNAcentral is "lncRNA (ENSSSCG00070008091.1)". Lineage: Eukaryota; Metazoa; Chordata; Mammalia; Artiodactyla; Suidae. The record is from RNAcentral.